RNAcentral lists this ribosomal RNA (389 nucleotides) under uncultured bacterium. Its description in RNAcentral is "bacterial SSU rRNA". It matches the Rfam family "Bacterial small subunit ribosomal RNA", at positions 28 to 417 of the family's 1533-position model. The record is from RNAcentral.
GAUGAACGCUGGCGGCAUGCUUUACACAUGCAAGUCGAACGGCAGCACGGGUGCUUGCACCUGGUGGCGAGUGGCGGACGGGUGAGUAAUGCAUCGGAACGUGUCCUGAAGUGGGGGAUAACGCAUCGAAAGAUGUGCUAAUACCGCAUAUUCUCUGAGGAGGAAAGUAGGGGAUCGAAAGACCUUAUGCUUUUGGAGCGGCCGAUGUCUGAUUAGCUAGUUGGUAGGGUAAUGGCUUACCAAGGCGACGAUCAGUAGUUGGUCUGAGAGGACGACCAGCCACACUGGGACUGAGACACGGCCCAGACUCCUACGGGAGGCAGCAGUGGGGAAUUUUGGACAAUGGGCGCAAGCCUGAUCCAGCAAUGCCGCGUGAGUGAAGAAGGCCU